GGAAGUAAACGUCGUAACAAGGUUUCCGUAGGUGAACCUGCGGAAGGAUCAUUAAAGAGAAUAUGCCCUUCGGGGUAGAUCUCCCACCCUUUGUUUAUAUUACCUUUGUUGCUUUGGCAGGCCCGUCUUCGGACCACCGGCUUCGGCUGGUCAGUGCUUGCCAGAGGACCCAAAACUCUUAUUAUUAAUGUCGUCUGAGUACUAUAUAAUAGUUAAAACUUUCAACAACGGAUCUCUUGGUUCUG
Molecule: unclassified non-coding RNA, 245 nt
Filed under: plant metagenome
Description: partial contains small subunit ribosomal RNA, internal transcribed spacer 1, and 5.8S ribosomal RNA
Rfam family: Eukaryotic small subunit ribosomal RNA (bases 1-54)
Source: RNAcentral